This 341-nucleotide ribosomal RNA is filed under the name uncultured Pseudomonadota bacterium. RNAcentral describes it as "bacterial SSU rRNA". It matches the Rfam family "Bacterial small subunit ribosomal RNA", at positions 29 to 351 of the family's 1533-position model. Lineage: Bacteria; Pseudomonadati; Pseudomonadota. The record is from RNAcentral.
AACGAACGCUGGCGGCGUGCUUAACACAUGCAAGUCGUGCGGGAAAGUCCCCUUCGGGGGGCGAGUAUAGCGGCGAACGGGUGAGUAACACGUAGGUAACCUACCUUGGAGACUGGGAUAACCCGUCGAAAGAUGGGCUAAUACCGGAUAAGACCACGCGGCCCUCGGGCCGCGGGGGAAAAAGUGGCCUCUGCAUGCAAGCUACCACUCCAAGAUGGGCCUGCGCGCCAUUAGCUUGUUGGUGAGGUAACGGCUCACCAAGGCAAAGAUGGCUAGCUGGUCUGAGAGGAUGGCCAGCCACACUGGGACUGAGACACGGCCCAGACUCCUACGGGAGGCUG